AGUGAACGCUGGCGGUAGACCUAACACAUGCAAGUCGAACGGCAGCACAGUAAGAGCUUGCUCUUACGGGUGGCGAGUGGCGGACGGGUGAGGAAUACAUCGGAAUCUACUUUUUCGUGGGGGAUAACGUAGGGAAACUUACGCUAAUACCGCAUACGACCUACGGGUGAAAGCAGGGGAUCUUCGGACCUUGCGCGAUUGAAUGAGCCGAUGUCGGAUUAGCUAGUUGGCGGGGUAAAGGCCCACCAAGGCGACGAUCCGUAGCUGGUCUGAGAGGAUGAUCAGCCACACUGGAAGUGAGACACGGUCCAGACUCCUACGGGAGGCAGCAGUGGGGAAUAUUGGACAAAGGGCGCAAGCCUGAUCCAGCCAUACCGCGUGGGUGAAGAAGGCCUUCGGGUUGUAAAGCCCUUUUGUUGGGAAAGAAAAGCAGCAGGUUAAUACCCCGCUGUUCUGACGGUACCCAAAGAAUAAGCACCGGCUAACUUCGUG
RNAcentral lists this ribosomal RNA (492 nucleotides) under uncultured bacterium. Its description in RNAcentral is "partial 16S ribosomal RNA". It matches the Rfam family "Bacterial small subunit ribosomal RNA", at positions 29 to 507 of the family's 1533-position model. The record is from RNAcentral.